Long non-coding RNA from Gossypium raimondii (Peruvian cotton), 669 nucleotides. RefSeq lists it as uncharacterized. NCBI's taxonomy places the organism in Eukaryota, Viridiplantae, Streptophyta, Magnoliopsida, Malvales, Malvaceae. The transcript is spliced from 3 exons. The record is from RefSeq and is a predicted model, not a curated record.
UUUAGCUAAUCUAUCUGCUUAACCCCCCAAAGGCAGGAAAAAAGCACACAAACUUAUUUAUACAUUCAGAGGUACAAAAGGUGAAUGUGUAAUCCUUAAGUCCUCGAAUGACAGGUGUUGAAGGGAGCGGAGUAGAUAUGCUUCAUUCAGACUUUGGAAUGUCUGAGGUCGUACCCCAAGGCCAGAAACUCUACCUUCUAGAAUGACCGAAGUGCCAUCUUCUGAUUUUAAAUCAACUCGAUAGAUGAGGAUGAGGAUGCCCAAUGUUUGGCCCUUUCUUAAACUUGGAAUCAAAAAGCAUAGACAACGGAUUUGUGUUUGGCCACCAUUUGUGCACAAAAUAUGGAGUUAUGUUUUUAGUAACAGUUCAUUGUUGCUAUAUAGAGGGAAUUGAUGGGCUAGAAUCCUCCUUGGAGAUACACCCCUGCCAUUGCCCAUGUCCUUCAUGUCCUUCCUUCCUUUCGAGGAUUGCAGUGCCUCGUCGCAUCGAGAUUUCAAAGGAAAAGCCGUAUGUUUUGUUUAAACGACAAGAACAAAUUACAAGGUGUUAUUCGACUUGUAAUUUAUUGUGUGCCAACAUAAGCAUCAACACACAAGUCAUAUGUAUAUACAGGCAGGAAAUCGACAUCUUUUGGAAGGAUCCUAAUCCAAGCAUUAUAAUUGAACAUA